Molecule: ribosomal RNA, 464 nt
Filed under: uncultured bacterium
Lineage: Bacteria
Description: partial 16S ribosomal RNA
Rfam family: Bacterial small subunit ribosomal RNA
Source: RNAcentral
GACGAACGCUGGCGGCGUGCUUAACACAUGCAAGUCGAACGGAAAGGCCCCUUUGGGGGUACUCGAGUGGCGAACGGGUGAGUAACACGUGAGUAACCUGCCCUUGACUUCGGGAUAACUUCAGGAAACUGGGGCUAAUACCGGAUAGGAAUCCUUGCUGCAUGGUGGGGGUUGGAAAGCUUCGGCGGUUUUGGAUGGACUCGCGGCUUAUCAGCUUGUUGGUGGGGUAGUGGCUUACCAAGGCUUUGACGGGUAGCCGGCCUGAGAGGCGACCGGCCACAUUGGGACUGAGAUACGGCCCAGACUCCUACGGGAGGCAGCAGUGGGGAAUAUUGCACAAUGGGCGGAAGCCUGAUGCAGCAACGCCGCGUGCGGGAUGACGGCCUUCGGGUUGUAAACCGCUUUCAGCAGGGGCGAAGCUUGUGGUGACGGUACCUGCAGAAGAAGCACCGGCUAACUACGUG